This 160-nucleotide microRNA precursor is filed under the name Oryza brachyantha (malo sina). Its description in RNAcentral is "MIR2118 microRNA precursor family". It matches the Rfam family "MIR2118 microRNA precursor family". Lineage: Eukaryota; Viridiplantae; Streptophyta; Magnoliopsida; Poales; Poaceae. The record is from Rfam by way of RNAcentral.
GUAAGGAAGAGGAAUAAAGAGGGUUUAAGAAUGGUGGGAAUGGGAACAUAGAGAAAACCUAAACCGUUUGUUUCCAUUAUUAGGUGGAAAUUUGGCUCACUGUUUCCCAAUGCCUCCUAUUCCUAUUAUUCUUAAUCACCCAUUCCUCUUCCUUUUGACU